ACUCCUGCGGGAGGCAGCAGUGGGGAAUAUUGGACAAUGGGCGCAAGCCUGAUCCAGCCAUGCCGCGUGAGUGAUGAAGGCCCUAGGGUUGUAAAGCUCUUUCACCGGUGAAGAUAAUGACGGUAACCGGAGAAGAAGCCCCGGCUAACUUCGUGCCAGCAGCCGCGGUAAUACGAAGGGGGCUAGCGUUGUUCGGAUUUACUGGGCGUAAAGCGCACGUAGGCGGACUAUUAAGUCAGGGGUGAAAUCCCGGGGCUCAACCCCGGAACUGCCUUUGAUACUGGUAGUCUUGAGUUCGAGAGAGGUGAGUGGAAUUCCGAGUGUAGAGGUGAAAUUCGUAGAUAUUCGGAGGAACACCAGUGGCGAAGGCGGCUCACUGGCUCGAUACUGACGCUGAGGUGCGAAAGCGUGGGGAGCAAACAGGAUUAGAAACCCCGGUAGCCCAUGAU
This 449-nucleotide ribosomal RNA is filed under the name uncultured organism. Its description in RNAcentral is "partial 16S ribosomal RNA". It matches the Rfam family "Bacterial small subunit ribosomal RNA", at positions 335 to 801 of the family's 1533-position model. The record is from RNAcentral.